AGCUUUCAUUUAUGAUUGCUCAUGCUUUGAAAUUGUGAUGUCACAAUUUGAUAAAGUGUGCAGUGCUAGGUGUAGCAAAUCAUUGCUUAUUAAAUCUACUGUGUUAUCUAAUAGCACCAAACUAAUAGAGCUAUCACAUAAUUGAGAAACUUGUGUGGCUUAUUACAAAUGGAUGAAACCACAUUUUACCUUAAUGAAGACAGUAAUCUUUAAUAAGGUGUAGAAAAAAGAGGUGAGUUGUUUGUUGCUGUGGUAAACAAAGAAGUGUACUGAAUCUUUUGGACUACACAGAUUGAUGUAGUAUUGAUUGUGAUGCUGAUCUGAGUUGUCUCAUUCUGUAUUUGUCACGGCCGGCAGGAUCGGCAAGGCGCUGAACAGCAUCACUCCACUCCUAGCCCCCCUUCUCUCCUCUUUUUCCUCUCUCUCCCCCUCUCUCCCCUGUUUUGCCGGGGCGGAACUCAUGGCGGGUUCACGCCCUUGGUCCACGCCUUCUCGGAUUGUGCACACCUGGGCCUCAUCAGACCAGCUGGUAUAUCAGAAGGAGGAGAUCAGCUGUUCAGCGCUGGAUUGUUGUGAAGGCUUCUAUUCCCCGGACCCGUUCCCGUGUUUCCCCGUGUGGUGUGUGGAAGGAGUGACAGGUCGCUAGUGGAGAGGAGAGAGGCUGUUUGGAGCGCGAGUGUGGUUUCCCCGUUUUCCCUGGAGCCCUGGACCCCUGCCCCUCACGUCUUGUAUAUAGCACUAACCCCGCACUGUCUAUACAUACACUCGGUGAAGAUUUGUAAUAAACUAUCUCUGUGUGAACGCUACCCAGGAGUCCUGCGAGUGGAUCCUCUAAGCA
Oreochromis niloticus (Nile tilapia) is the source of this 838-nucleotide long non-coding RNA. RefSeq lists it as uncharacterized. The transcript is spliced from 2 exons. The record is from RefSeq and is a predicted model, not a curated record. Lineage: Eukaryota; Metazoa; Chordata; Actinopteri; Cichliformes; Cichlidae.